GCUGAAUUUAAGCAUAUUAAUAAGCGGAGGAAAAGAAACUAACUAGGAUGUCCUCAGUAACGGCGAGUGAAGCGGACAUUGCUCAAAUUUUAAAUCGGGGGAUCUUUCGAGAUUUCUUGAAUUGUAGUUUUUCGAUCGGUUAUCACGGGGGCAGUAUUUUGAGUACUGGGUAUAAGUUCUUUGGAAUGAGACAUCAUAGAGGGUGAGAAUCCCGUCCAUGACCCAAAUAUUGUUCCAAUACGUGUUAACCUUUUGACGAGUCGGGUUGUUUGGGAUUGCAGCCUAAAUUAGGUGGUAGAUCUCAUCUAAAGCUAAAUAUCUUGGGGAGACCGAUAGCGAAGAAGUACAGUGAUGGAAAGGUGAAAAGAACUUUGAAAAGAAGGUCAAAAAGUGCUUGAAACUGUUAAAAGGGAAACGGAUGGAGCCAGCCAUUACCCAAUGGGCA
This 445-nucleotide ribosomal RNA is filed under the name uncultured eukaryote. RNAcentral describes it as "eukaryotic LSU rRNA". It matches the Rfam family "Eukaryotic large subunit ribosomal RNA", at positions 27 to 449 of the family's 3401-position model. The record is from RNAcentral.